Rosa chinensis is the source of this 775-nucleotide long non-coding RNA. RefSeq lists it as uncharacterized. Lineage: Eukaryota; Viridiplantae; Streptophyta; Magnoliopsida; Rosales; Rosaceae. The record is from RefSeq and is a predicted model, not a curated record. The transcript has 4 exons.
CCAUCUGAUACACCAGCCACCGCCUUAGGAAAGUACAAAGGACAUAGCCGCCGCCAUGGGUAAGUAGGAGGUGUCAACAGCCUUGGAAAUCAAGUUUCAAAUUUGAUGAUUCCCCAAAGCUAUGAAGCUAGAGCUGGAACCCUAGAAUCAGGAGCUGGAACUCUAGAAAUCUGGAGGUGGCAAGUCUAGUACCUAUAUGGUUCCUUGAGUUGCUAGAUACAUAGAUAAACAAGGGAGAGAGAGAAAAAGAGGGUUUUGGUAUCUUAGAAGUGGAGGAGUAAAAAGUCAGGUGAUUCAAAUUCCGAAAGUUUCUUUAGGAUGUCAGCUACAAAUCGUUAGAAGACCAUGGAAGCAGAUUUUAAACAGAUUUGUACAGUUUUUAACAUUAAGGAACUUGUUUUCAUCCGGAUAUUUAACGUGAAAAUCAAUCGAGGUAGGGGAAAAACUUGGGGAGCCUCUAUGUUUGCAUUGGAUGGUUGUUUACAUGAUUGUAUUGGAUGGUUGUGUACAUGAUUAUAUGCAUUUAUGUCCUCUGUUUCUGUUUGUUUGGUAUGGCUGAAUAGUGAAUACACUUACAUAUUCAAAGUAUUUGUGCAUCAAUAAGACAUGAAGUAUAAGGGUGGUGAUGGUAAUGUGAAUAUGCUAUUGGAAUGAGUAUGUUGGUUUAUCUUUUGCGUAGUUGAGUCUAUAACCUCAGCAGGUACCAGAUCCCAGGUAUGCCCACUUGUGAAUGUGCACUUAGUAUAGGAUAUUGAAAGGGUAAUUCGGGACUGGC